UUUCAGUUAGCUACAAAAGCUAUAUUUUCUUCUGGAUUAUAUAAUCUUUACAUAUGAGAUGGCACAAAGAUAUAUGAUAUAACUGAAUUGAGAGUGUAGGCCACUAGUUCACAAAAGCCUCCAAAUUGCAGUUAUAUUGUUUGAGUUCUGCAACGUUAAUUGCAGUGUCACCUGACAAUGAUAUUACGUCUCUUUUUCCUUAAUGUUACAUGUAGUACAUGAUCAUUGUAUUUGUGCUUACUAUACUGAAAGGUGCAAUUACCAUGGAUGUAUUUCUGAAUACCAACUGGGAAGAGUUCUUUAUAACUUGUGCAAAGUGUGACUGGCUGGACAACAAACAUGUGGUCUUUGGGCUAUUGGAGGCGAGGACAUGUUGCUGCAUCUGUUGGCUUCAUAUCUGAUUAGCUCAACGCUAGGGAAAGAAUAAAGUGUGAGUUAGCUGAAUUAAGGCUGAUGUAGACUGUGUAGACGAUGAAUUAAGCCAGAUGAUGAAUUUCGAUGGUUGAUGGAUCUGGAGAAAAGCCACAUGAUGAAUUAAGGCUGUGUAGACGAUGUGAAUGAUGUUUGUUUUUAUUGUAGAUGGUAACUGAACGAGCAUCAGUGGAGUAUUGCAUAUUUGUUCU
Long non-coding RNA from Panicum virgatum (switchgrass), 623 nucleotides. RefSeq lists it as uncharacterized. The transcript is spliced from 3 exons. The record is from RefSeq and is a predicted model, not a curated record. NCBI's taxonomy places the organism in Eukaryota, Viridiplantae, Streptophyta, Magnoliopsida, Poales, Poaceae.